This 253-nucleotide ribosomal RNA is filed under the name uncultured bacterium. Its description in RNAcentral is "partial 16S ribosomal RNA". It matches the Rfam family "Bacterial small subunit ribosomal RNA", at positions 524 to 776 of the family's 1533-position model. The record is from RNAcentral.
CACGUAGGGCGCAAGCGUUGUCCGGAAUCAUUGGGCGUAAAGAGCGCGUAGGCGGUCCGGUAAGUCCGCUGUGAAAGUCAAGGGCUCAACCCUUGAAUGCCGGUGGAUACUGUCGGGCUAGAGUCCGGAAGAGGCGAGUGGAAUUCCUGGUGUAGCGGUGAAAUUCGUAGAUAUUCGGAGGAACACCAGUGGCGAAGGCGGCUCACUGGUCCAUUACUGACGCUGAGGUGCGAAAGCGUGGGGAGCAAACAGG